UACGGGGGGGGCAAGCGUUGUUCGGAAUUACUGGGCGUAAAGGGCUCGUAGGUGGCCAACUAAGUCGGACGUGAAAUCCCUCAGCUUAACUGGGGAACUGCGUCCGAUACUGGAUGGCUCGAGUUUGGGAGAGGGAUGCGGAAUUCCAGGUGUAGCGGUGAAAUGUGUAGAUAUCUGGAGGAACACCGGUGGCGAAGGCGGCAUCCUGGACCAACACUGACACUGAGGAGCGAAAGCCAGGGGAGCAAACGGG
RNAcentral lists this ribosomal RNA (253 nucleotides) under uncultured bacterium. RNAcentral's name for it is "partial 16S ribosomal RNA". It matches the Rfam family "Bacterial small subunit ribosomal RNA", at positions 524 to 776 of the family's 1533-position model. The record is from RNAcentral.